This 274-nucleotide unclassified non-coding RNA is filed under the name Hevea brasiliensis (rubber tree). The record is from RNAcentral. Lineage: Eukaryota; Viridiplantae; Streptophyta; Magnoliopsida; Malpighiales; Euphorbiaceae.
AAUUGUGAAUUGCAUACAAAGGAUCGGUGAAACCGAAAUUGUUGUACGCCAAUCGGCAGGAUGGUCGACUUAUACAAUUUUCCGAUGCACAGAGAGCUAAUCUUCAAUUGCCAGCUGCGCUGAUCUUGAAAUUGCCACCGCCAAGGUUUUUCCGAUACUUUAGGAUGGAUUAUAAUUCUUCAUUUCCCGCCGCCAAAGUUCCUCUGAUCCGCGAUGGAACGUUUUUUCCGAUGAGCGACCGAGCAAAGAUUUCACCGAUACGAUAACUUCAGAG